Molecule: non-coding RNA, 156 nt
Organism: Populus trichocarpa (black cottonwood)
Lineage: Eukaryota; Viridiplantae; Streptophyta; Magnoliopsida; Malpighiales; Salicaceae
Source: Rfam
UCUAGAACUUGAGAUAUGGGCUGAACACUCAACAGUGUUUGGGUUGCAGGACAAAUUCUGACUUCUUUGUUGUUGCUACAAUGUGAACUUGACAACGAUCCUUUUGAAUCUUGGACUCUUCAUGAAAGUUUUAGGCCUAUGUCUUAGCUUUCUAUC